AUUGAACGCUGGCGGCAGGCCUAACACAUGCAAGUCGAGCGGAUGAAGGGAGCUUGCUCCUGGAUUCAGCGGCGGACGGGUGUGUAAUGCCUAGGAAUCUGCCUGGUAGUGGGGGAUAACGUCCGGAAACGGGCGCUAAUACCGCAUACGUCCUGAGGGAGAAAGUGGGGGAUCUUCGGACCUCACGCUAUCAGAUGAGCCUAGGUCGGAUUAGCUAGUUGGUGGGGUAAAGGCCUACCAAGGCGACGAUCCGUAACUGGUCUGAGAGGAUGAUCAGUCACCUGGGAACUGAGACACGGUCCAUGCUACUAAGGGAGGGAGCAGAGGGGAAUAUUGGGCAAUGGGCGAAAGCCUGAUCCAGCCAUGGCGCGUGUGUGAAGAAGGUCUUCGGAUUGUAAAGCACUUUAAGUUGGGAGGAAGGGCAGUAAGUUAAUACCUUGCUGUUUUGACGUUACCAACAGAAUAAGCACCGGCUAACUUCGUG
Molecule: ribosomal RNA, 484 nt
Filed under: uncultured bacterium
Lineage: Bacteria
Description: partial 16S ribosomal RNA
Rfam family: Bacterial small subunit ribosomal RNA
Source: RNAcentral